GUCUAUAACAACACAUAAGGCUGCCAACUGAAUUAGGAUCAAAGAAUUGUUGAGAUCUGCCUUAGAAUGUGCUUGAUGAUCAAAACAGUUCUUAGCUCACCCGUACAAGACUACGAAGGUCUUAAUAAAAUUAUCAUGGCUCCUUCAUGGAUACGAAAAUGCAAAACACAAGUGCUAGCAAAUUUUGCAGAUUCUUCCUUCAUCCAUAUGCCAAAACAUUCAUAAAUUGAAAAACAUGAUUUUAAGAAAAACUUGAAUAACAUUAUC
RNAcentral lists this long non-coding RNA (267 nucleotides) under Prunus dulcis (almond). RNAcentral describes it as "sRNA ncRNA". The record is from RNAcentral. Lineage: Eukaryota; Viridiplantae; Streptophyta; Magnoliopsida; Rosales; Rosaceae.